UGCAAGAUAAAGAGAAAAACCUGUUUGUUGGAUUGCUGAACUAAGUUUGGCGUCAAGGUUGCAACAUAUUAUCUCAUUAAGUAUUCCACAGACUGGAGUCUUCAGAUUGGUGGCUUGUAAGAUUUAUCUUCCUUGUUAUGAAUGAGCUUUAUUUUGUUGAAGAAGUAACAUUUAUCUAAAGUUAUGUGGAAAAAUAAGGGCUUUGUGUCUUUUUAAUACAUGGUACAAAGGAGCCAAAUUUCACAAAUUAGAAGAAUAUUAAAAAACUAUGUGGAAUGUUCAAAUUCAGUUAAGGUUAACUUCGGAGACAAAAACAUGCUCCCUUUUUAAGGAGGUCCAAUAAAAAUAAAAAGCAAGUCCAGCUCCAGCAUCCUGUGUAAGAUGCAGCCAAGUCUCAUAUGGAAGGCAUGAGCUUUUGAGUUUUUUUUGUUGCACAUUUAAAAAGAUAGUUCACUUUUGCUUCAGAUGCUUGACACAAUUGAAAUUUCAACUGUGUUCUGUGGUGCUCUUGAUCUUAGAUUUAUAAAGGGCUAGAUCCUUUGUGGCUAUCAGUCCUGACCCCUUAGAGAUGAAAGUUUUACUUUUUGCAAGAGUCCCCCUACUACUAUUCCUUCUCCCUUCUGAAAGUGUUUUCUCACAGUGUUUGUUUUGGAUCAGCAGCUCCCUACCCUACUGAGAAAGUAUGGUACAGAAUUUCAAUAGCAUCUGUGCCUCUUUUCAAGGGGUGGAAUUACCUGGAAUGAGGAUUUGGGUGGAUGUGGCCUAACUCAGCUCAGCAGUCGGCAGGAAUCCAGACGGCAGGCUUUGGCCCUUGACAUUUAACACAGGGCAAAGGAUAUCGCUAGGAAUUUGACCUUCAGUCUCCCAUGUCUCAACUUGCAUCAGGUGAAGAGAGCGUCCCCGAGACGCACAGAAGGCGGUGCCAGCGACCGGGACUGUGCUGCUACGAAGCGGGCGCCCUGCGGGGUUGGCUGUGAGUCUGCUAGAAGCACUUUUCAUGUCAAGCAGCUGUGUAAGGAGAAAGCUCAGAUCUGAAUCUUGAGCUAUCGGGUGAAUGAAUAAUCUGCAAAAUGUAAUUAGUGAUGGGUUAAUUAAGGUUAGUUCAUAUACAGCUCAGGAGAACUAUUUCUCUUUGUGGUUAAAGGUUAAAUUCCAAGGAGGUUAAAUAAUUAAUA
Molossus molossus (Pallas's mastiff bat) is the source of this 1175-nucleotide long non-coding RNA. RefSeq lists it as uncharacterized. The record is from RefSeq and is a predicted model, not a curated record. The transcript has 3 exons. NCBI's taxonomy places the organism in Eukaryota, Metazoa, Chordata, Mammalia, Chiroptera, Molossidae.